This 74-nucleotide transfer RNA is filed under the name Archaeoglobus veneficus. RNAcentral's name for it is "tRNA-Lys". It matches the Rfam family "tRNA". From Rfam's summary of the family: Transfer RNA (tRNA) molecules are approximately 80 nucleotides in length. Their secondary structure includes four short double-helical elements and three loops (D, anti-codon, and T loops). RNAcentral also lists the same sequence under 8 other names. Lineage: Archaea; Methanobacteriati; Methanobacteriota; Archaeoglobi; Archaeoglobales; Archaeoglobaceae. The record is from RNAcentral.
GGGCCGGUAGCUUAGCCAGGCAGAGCACGGGACUCUUAAUCCCGGUGUCGGGGGUUCAAAUCCCCUCCGGCCCG